Molecule: long non-coding RNA, 449 nt
Organism: Gallus gallus (chicken)
Lineage: Eukaryota; Metazoa; Chordata; Aves; Galliformes; Phasianidae
Exons: 3
Source: RefSeq, a predicted model, not a curated record
GGGAAGGUUCAGUCUUUACUGUCGUACCACCAACAUCUGCCUCUGACAUUGUCGGCCAACAUCAUAAAAAAGGAGGCAUUACUUUCAUGUUUCAUUGGAACAUUUACUGAAGUCUUGAAACAAUUUGACCUCCUCAGUAUUUAGUUCUGGUAGAGGCUAUUCUUACAAAAUCAAACUAAGCUUGAAAAUCAUCUGUUCACAGGAUGACAAAGAACUGGAAGAUUGUCAGUUUGGACUUACAGAAACAUAAAGAAUGUUUGAGAAUCUUCCAGUGCCUAACCUCGAGGAAAAACACGGUUGAAAGCCUAUGGAUCCCCAAGGCUACCAUUCUGGUGUGCUGUCCUGUAUCUUUUGUUAUUUUCUAGAUGCACUCCGUUUUAUUUAAAAAUACGUAUUUAGCAUAUUAUUGUGUGUCUUAAUUUGUAUUUAUGUAUCUAUUUAUGCUUUAU